RNAcentral lists this ribosomal RNA (465 nucleotides) under uncultured Aquimonas sp. Its description in RNAcentral is "bacterial SSU rRNA". It matches the Rfam family "Bacterial small subunit ribosomal RNA", at positions 338 to 795 of the family's 1533-position model. The record is from RNAcentral. Lineage: Bacteria; Pseudomonadati; Pseudomonadota; Gammaproteobacteria; Lysobacterales; Lysobacteraceae.
CCUACGGGGGGCUGCAGUGGGGAAUAUUGGACAAUGGGCGCAAGCCUGAUCCAGCAAUGCCGCGUGUGUGAAGAAGGCCUGCGGGUUGUAAAGCACUUUUGUUCGGGAAGAAAUCAUGCUGGUUAAUACCUGGUAUGGAUGACGGUACCGAAAGAAUAAGCACCGGCUAACUUCGUGCCAGCAGCCGCGGUAAUACGAAGGGUGCAAGCGUUAAUCGGAAUUACUGGGCGUAAAGGGUGCGUAGGCGGCCUUUUAAGUCGGAUGUGAAAUCCCCGGGCUCAACCUGGGAAUGGCAUUCGAUACUGGGAGGCUAGAGUUUGGGAGAGGGUGGUGGAAUUCCCGGUGUAGCGGUGAAAUGCGUAGAGAUCGGGAGGAACAUCAGUGGCGAAGGCGGCCACCUGGCCUAAAACUGACGCUGAGGCACGAAAGCGUGGGGAGCAAACAGGCUUAGAUACCCCGGUAGUC